Molecule: non-coding RNA, 68 nt
Filed under: Arcticibacter tournemirensis
Lineage: Bacteria; Pseudomonadati; Bacteroidota; Sphingobacteriia; Sphingobacteriales; Sphingobacteriaceae
Source: RNAcentral
GGAGUAAAGCUAGCUGUGAGAAGUCAGCCGAUUUCGUAGUACUUGCUUACGGCAAAGCAAGGAAGGAA